Molecule: long non-coding RNA, 229 nt
Organism: Mya arenaria
Lineage: Eukaryota; Metazoa; Mollusca; Bivalvia; Myida; Myidae
Exons: 3
Source: RefSeq, a predicted model, not a curated record
GAGCAUUAUAAUUCUUAUCAGUGUGCUCAAACAAGUCACUACAGUGUAACAUGAACAUUCCGAUUAUUUUAAUAAUUCUUAUAGUUGGCACUGAGGGCGCUUGCAUGGACGGAUGGGUUCAUUACGAAGACUCGUGUUACCUCAUUGGACAUACAGAUCUGUCUUUUAUAGAUGCUCAGAGAUACUGUCAGAGUCAUGGGGCGAACCUAGUCAAUUUAGAAACCCCAAA